This 253-nucleotide ribosomal RNA is filed under the name uncultured bacterium. RNAcentral's name for it is "partial 16S ribosomal RNA". It matches the Rfam family "Bacterial small subunit ribosomal RNA", at positions 524 to 776 of the family's 1533-position model. The record is from RNAcentral.
UACGGAGGGGGCUAGCGUUGUUCGGAAUUACUGGGCGUAAAGCGCACGUAGGCGGCUUUGUAAGUUAGAGGUGAAAGCCCGGAGCUCAACUCCGGAAUUGCCUUUAAGACUGCAUCGCUCGAAUCAUGGAGAGGUGAGUGGAAUUCCGAGUGUAGAGGUGAAAUUCGUAGAUAUUCGGAAGAACACUAGUGGCGAAGGCGACUCACUGGACAUGUAUUGACGCUGAGGUGCGAAAGCGUGGGGAGCAAACAGG